RNAcentral lists this ribosomal RNA (439 nucleotides) under uncultured bacterium. Its description in RNAcentral is "partial 16S ribosomal RNA". It matches the Rfam family "Bacterial small subunit ribosomal RNA", at positions 338 to 795 of the family's 1533-position model. The record is from RNAcentral.
CCUACGGGAGGCAGCAGUGGGGAAUAUUGCACAAUGGGCGAAAGCCUGAUGCAGCAACGCCGCGUGAGCGAUGAAUGCCCUCGGGUCGUACAGCUCUGUCCUCAAGGAAGAUAAUGACGGUACGUGAGGAGGAAGCCCCGGCUAACUACGUGCCAGCAGCCGCGGUAAUACGUAGGUGGCUAGCGUUAUCCGGAAUUACUGGGCGAAAAGGGUGUUUAGGUGGUUUCUUAAGUCAGAGGUGAAAGGCUACGGCUCAACCGGAGUAAGGCUUUGAAACUGGGAAACUUGAGUGCAGGAGAGGGGAGUGGAAUUCCUAGUGUAGCGGUGAAAUGCGUAGAUAUUAGGAAGAACACCGGUUGCGAAGGCAGCUUUCUGGACUGUAACUGACACUGAUGCACGAAAGCGUGGGGAGCAAACAGGAUUAGAUACCCUUGUAGUC